RNAcentral lists this ribosomal RNA (424 nucleotides) under uncultured prokaryote. RNAcentral describes it as "bacterial SSU rRNA". It matches the Rfam family "Bacterial small subunit ribosomal RNA", at positions 355 to 796 of the family's 1533-position model. The record is from RNAcentral.
UGGGGAAUAUUGGACAAUGGGCGCAAGCCUGAUCCAGCCAUGCCGCGUGGAUGAAGAAGGCCCUAGGGUUGUAAAGUCCUUUCGCUAGGGAAGAUAAUGACGGUACCUAGUAAAGAAGCCCCGGCUAAUUUCGUGCCAGCAGCCGCGGUAAUACGAAAGGGGCUAGCGUUGUUCGGAAUUACUGGGCGUAAAGCGCACGUAGGCGGCAAUGUAAGUUGGGGGUGAAAUCCCGGGGCUCAACUCCGGAACUGCCUCCAAAACUACAUAGCUAGAGGUUGUGAGAGGAUAGUGGAAUUCCAAGUGUAGAGGUGAAAUUCGUAGAUAUUUGGAAGAACACCAGUGGCGAAGGCGACUGUCUGGCACAUUUCUGACGCUGAGGUGCGAAAGCGUGGGGAGCAAACAGGAUUAGAUACCCCCGUAGUCC